This 666-nucleotide ribosomal RNA is filed under the name Triticum aestivum (bread wheat). RNAcentral's name for it is "partial small subunit ribosomal RNA". Lineage: Eukaryota; Viridiplantae; Streptophyta; Magnoliopsida; Poales; Poaceae. The record is from RNAcentral.
AUGGAGCGGAUGGCUAAUUAUUACUUUAAGGAGGUUUUUACAAAGGACCCGACCUUGGAUCAGGAAGAAGUACUGGACAUCAUCGCGCCUAAGGUGUCCGCGGAGAUGAAUGAGGCCUUGUGCCAAGAUUACACAGAGGAGGAGAUAUCCAACGCGCUGUUCCAGAUCGGUCCAUUGAAAGCACCCGGAUGUGAUGGUUUUCCGGCCAGGUUUUAUCAACGGAAUUGGGCGGUUCUUAAGGAUGAGAUAGUGGCAGCUGUACAGGAAUUUUUUACCACUGGUGUCAUGCCGGAGGGGGUUAAUGACACGUCCAUUGUGCUUAUUCCUAAAGUGCCACAUCCAAGAGAACUGAAGGAUUUCCGGCCCAUUAGUUUGUGCAAUGUGGUGUAUAAGAUCGUUUCAAAGUGCAUGGUAAAUCGGCUACGACCUCUCUUAACUGAGCUUAUUUCUGAAAAUCAGAGUGCCUUCGUCCCUGGGAGGCUUAUCUCUGAUAACUCCAUCAUUGCGUUCGAGUGCAUCCACCACAUUCAGACCGCCAAAGCAAACUCCCCAACUUUGUGUUCUUAUAAACUGGAUUUGUCGAAGGCUUAUGACCGUGUGGAUUGGAGCUUCCUGGAGAGGGCGCUGUCUAAGUGGGGAUUUUCUAAUCAAUGGAUUUCCGCGUGA